Molecule: unclassified non-coding RNA, 304 nt
Filed under: uncultured Botryosphaeria
Lineage: Eukaryota; Fungi; Ascomycota; Dothideomycetes; Botryosphaeriales; Botryosphaeriaceae
Also listed under: 1 other name
Description: sequence contains ITS1
Rfam family: 5.8S ribosomal RNA (bases 1-105)
Source: RNAcentral
GAAAUGCGAUAAGUAAUGUGAAUUGCAGAAUUCAGUGAAUCAUCGAAUCUUUGAACGCACAUUGCGCCCUUUGGUAUUCCGAAGGGCAUGCCUGUUCGAGCGUCAUUACAACCCUCAAGCUCUGCUUGGUAUUGGGCACCGUCCUUUGCGGGCGCGCCUCAAAGACCUCGGCGGUGGCGUCUUGCCUCAAGCGUAGUAGAACAUACAUCUCGCUUCGGAGCGCAGGGCGUCGCCCGCCGGACGAACCUUCUGAACUUUUCUCAAGGUUGACCUCGGAUCAGGUAGGGAUACCCGCUGAACUUAA